This is a long non-coding RNA of Electrophorus electricus (electric eel), 1236 nucleotides long. The record is from Ensembl. Lineage: Eukaryota; Metazoa; Chordata; Actinopteri; Gymnotiformes; Gymnotidae.
UCUCAUUGUCUGAUUUAUGCUCUUAUGCAGUUGUUUCUGUUUUUAUUCUAUAUUUUUGUUAUUUAGUGCCUUUUAAAACUCCAGUUUCUUAAUCUUUCAGUGCCUGUAUCGACCUCUUCAGUAAUGGUGAAUCUUCAUGAUGAUGCUACUCUCUCCUGCCAAAUAGUUGCCAAAUAGUAUUAAACAUUGUGGUAGACUUUCUGACAGUGUAUCUAAUCUCUAUGGUGUGGGGAUGGGACAUGACUUCCCUGAUCCAGUGAUUAUAUGUGGGUGCAGUGGGGGGUUUGAAAGCAGUCUGCCUUCAAGGCAACAAAGUCCUCCAUCACUCAUCUGGUCUAAAAGGGUUGUGGUCUGAUUGUCUGAUUUAUUGAAUGCCUUUUUAAACUCCACUUUCUUAAUCUCUUUCAGUUCCUGUAUCGACCUUCUCUUCAGUAAAGGUGAAUCUUCAUGACAAUGCUACUCUCCCCUGCACUCAGACAUGUUCUGGUCUGGUCACAUGGACUGUGUCCCAUAAACAACUUGACAUUCUGGCUCAGUGUAACCAGACAUCCUGUCAGUCAAAGGAGGGAUUUCACAUGUCACAUGAUCAGUACCUGAAGGGAGAUCUCUCCCUCACCAUCACUGAUGUUGAUUACACUAAGAGGACCUGGUACACCUGUGAGUGUGAUGGUGUAGUCAUCUAUGAUGUGAGUCUAUGGAUAGAGGGUAAGGUUUGUUCUCUCAGUCUUUGCUAAUGAACCCUUAAUGAAAAUCUGGUGCUGGAUUUGCCCAUAUCAGAGUCAGUGAAGGUGAUGUAUAACAGCACAGGUGCAGCUGUUCCCUCUAGUGGACAGAUCUGCACAGUGGCUGGAAGCUCAUUACAAUGUAAAGAUGAAUACACUCAGAGAGCAUCUCUCAUCUCUGCUGUUGAGCUGAGAGAAACAGCACCAUCUGAUGGUGGAGUUUACACGAUCUGGGACACCAGUAAUGAAGAGGUCAUUCACACAUACACAGUUACUGUUGAAGAAGUCCAGCCGUGUCCAGAUCAGAGCUCCACAGUGACGGUGUUGGCGGUGCUCCUGGCUCUGAUGGGGGCAGGGCUUGUGGCAGCAGGGCUGGUGAUUGUGCAGCUGAGGAAAAAAAUCAGCAGCUCCAGAAAGGAGGUACAUUGAAGGGAAACUGUAACCAUGGCAAGAGAGGAGAUAUUACAGAAAGAUGGAUGUGUGUUCCAGGUCCACUGCCAGGAUUUCCAGGAUU